UACGGAGGAUCCAAGCGUUAUCCGGAAUCAUUGGGUUUAAAGGGUCCGUAGGCGGUUUGGUAAGUCAGUGGUGAAAGCCCAUCGCUCAACGGUGGAACGGCCAUUGAUACUGCCAGACUUGAAUUAUUAGGAAGUAACUAGAAUAUGUAGUGUAGCGGUGAAAUGCUUAGAGAUUACAUGGAAUACCAAUUGCGAAGGCAGGUUACUACUAAUGGAUUGACGCUGAUGGACGAAAGCGUGGGUAG
This 245-nucleotide ribosomal RNA is filed under the name uncultured Flavobacterium sp. RNAcentral describes it as "partial 16S ribosomal RNA". It matches the Rfam family "Bacterial small subunit ribosomal RNA", at positions 524 to 768 of the family's 1533-position model. The record is from RNAcentral. Lineage: Bacteria; Pseudomonadati; Bacteroidota; Flavobacteriia; Flavobacteriales; Flavobacteriaceae.